UAAAUUAUUCUCUGUCCCAAAUAACGAGCCCUUUAUUUUACUAAUUUGUAUAGUUAUAAGAAGUCACUCAUUGUUUUUUUACAUGUAUUUUGCAUAUAGAAUGAAUUCAUAUUUAUGAGUUGCUUCAGUGAUAAUUUCCCGAUCCUAAGGACAACAAAAAGAUAAGUAGAAUCAUCAAUGAAAACUUUCAAAAAAAAAUACAACUAGAUAAUUAAGAGUAGAACCUUCACUAAUGAAGAAGAUCAAUAUAAAAAAAUAGUACUUGAAGAUAAUAGCAUUGUCAUUCUGAAAUAUCUCAAGGGUCUUUUCAUAAUCUAAGAGAAAGAGCAUUUUCAAGACCCUGCACCAAUUUCUCAUAGCUCUGUAUCUAUCUCGCUACAACCUGCCCUAAAAAAAUAUUAGCCUUAAGAAAUAUAACUUUCAAGAACACGCGCCAACACUAAAGGAACAUAGACGGAACACGCGCCAAAUAUCAAAGGAACAUAAUUUUCAGAAAACUUGGUGCAACAUGUUAAAAGGCCGGCGUUCCACAUUACUGAGAAAGUCCUAUCAUGACAUUUCAAUGAAGAAGUUCGCAAUAUAUAUAUGUGAGAAAGCAAUAGCAUAUACACUGCACAUUACACAAAAAUAAUAAAAAAAAAGAUAGAACUUAACAAAGAGAUUUAAUUCACUGUUAUAGCAGUGAUAUGGAAAAACAUGUUAUGAAUAAUUUUUAGUUUUUAAAAAUACUUCGAAUGGAAAUGAUAACAUGCUUAACUGGCUUGAUAAAUAGUUUAACAUAGCCAUAUUUAAUCUGCAGUUCUAUAUAAGACUCAUACUUUUUAUUUAGGAUACCAAAGAUCUCAAGAAUCACAAGCCCCACGAUAUUAUUUAAUUAUUUUCACAUAAAUAUCUUACUUCUUAGUUGAUAACAAACUUAUAUCGAAUGAGCCUUUUACAUCAUAUAUAAUACGCUCUAGGUUAAGACUAACCAUAAUCCCUUGUUUUUUCCUACCUUAGACUCUAUGCUCAAAUUAGAGAAGUCUCAUAGAAGAGGAAAAUAUGUGCAUCAGUUAAAAUAACAACAACAAUUACAAGUUUCAAGGAAGUAACUACAAUAAUUAAUAUAUCUAGCAAAUUGUUACCUUGUCAUUGAACUUAAGAUCAACCUUUAAUUGUUUCAUCGUCGAGUUGCGAAACAAAAGUCACCAACAUGAUUUCAUCUGAUGGUUGAAAGAAAAAUCCAGUAUCUGUAAUACAUAGUCUUUUAAACUUCACCACAAGCUCUUCAAAAUAAUUUUCAAGCUCAACAAAAGGUACACAAAAUUAUGUAUACAUUCAAAAGUACAUACCUUGUACCAAAUUUUACAUCCAACUAAGAUGAUUUCUUUUGUUAACAUAUUCAGAGGAGAAGUCAUUUCUACAUUUCGAGUCUAACAGAAGUCACUAAACUACAAUAGAAUUUUAUAUACAUAAUUUCAUUGAAGAUGCUCUCAAAUAUUAAGAAGUUGUUGGAACUUUAAUGUCAUCUUUGAAAGCAUUAUCAUAAGAAUUGUUUUGUACGCUUGCCCAUAGAGAUUUAUAUAUAUCAACUUCCUAUUAAAAGUACAAUAAUUCAACACAUCAUUUUUCAGAGGGCUAUAUCAUUAUGGAUUAUCAAUUCAUUUCAUUUAUCUUGCAAGGUAAAGCGAGCAUAGAGACUAAAAUAGAUGAAUAUAAGAAAUGUUUGUAUGGAAUCUUGAAUUCAUUAUAUAGUGAAUCAAUAUUUGGAUAAGAAUAGGGAAGGAGAAAAAAUGAAAAUUAUAUAUUAUGUUAUUUUAGUUACAAACAUUCCAUAAAGUCAAAAAGAAAAUCUUCACAAUCUAGUAGAGGUAACAUGUCAAAUCCAUAAGGAAAUAAAUAUCUACAAAAUAUUGUUGAACCUAUGUAAUUAAAGACAAACUCAUUUGAAAUAACUAAAAGAAAGUGACAGAUUGUGUUACCUGUAAAUUUAAAAUAAAUUGGAGAAAACAAUUAGUAGGAGAAAAGUAUAUACACAACUUUAGCAAAGGGACGCGUAACAAAAGUGAUUUGCCUCAAUCGAAAAGAUAUACAUACACCUCCAAAUUUAGUAGAAUCAUUUUAUAUUCAAGUAUAAGACAUUAUUGUCCAUACAUAAAUUUUACAUUUAAUGAACGAUAAAGAACGAUGACAAUUUAUUCUAACCGUACCGAAAUAUAUAGGUGAAUUUAACGAGAAACACGUUGAAUAAAAACACAUGAAGAUCCUAAUUUCUGUAAAAGGACACCAAUGACAAAAAAAAAUUAUCAACGUAUCCAUUAUUCAUUUAAUCAGUGCCAUUUUGGAAAAAGAGACAUGUACACUAAAAUGUAAUCCAGCUUUCUCUAGCUUCUUAUCUGUUUUAAUUUCGUCAAGUUCCAAGAUGGUUGGAUUUACAGUUCAUUUAAUUUAGCCAACAUGAAAUGAAAAAUAUAGGUGAACAAAGAAGCUUUAAAACCCCUUGAAGGCUUAACAGUGUACUAAUGAUCGAUAAAAACAAAUAAAGAGCAAUUAUAAUUGUAGCAGAAUGUAACUUUUAAAGAUUAGUCCCACAAAAGGGAUUAUCUCACAUAAGAUUCUACAUUAAAAAAAAUAUAGCAAAUGUUUUGAAAUAAAAAUAUCGACAACACACAUAAUUUGAUCACGGACAGAGUUGAAUAUGAUGAGAAAGUAUAAUACUAUGUCAAGAUUGUUAUAAUAAAAUUAGAGAAGAUGAAGCAUACUAAAAGAGUAUAAUUAUCUAGACUGUAGACAAGAAAUCUAUGUACUUACCUAUGAAAAUUGGAGAAAUCGAGUAGAUUUUUUUUUGAAUAUGAAGUUUCUAUGCCCAUCCCUACAUAUCAUGUUUCCAAUCCUCUCAUUUCUCCUUGAAAUAAAUACAAAGACCUACACAUGAAAAAUUAAUAAAUCUUAAAAUCACUCACAUUAAGAACAAACCAUAAGGAAAACUAAAUUUCAAUAAUCAAUUUUAAAAAAAUAUAAACUAAUAAAUAGGGAAACAAAUAGGAGAAGGAGAAAAGAACUAGAAGGAAAAUAUCGAAUUAACCGUAAAUACAGUGCAUGCAAUUACAGAAACACAAAAACCAAAUAGAUAAGUAAAAUUGAGUAAAAAAAUCGAACCAAUCGAAUAAACAAUUGAUAAAAUAUGACCUAAAUUCAAAACUAAAGAAAUAAAAGCACAAAGGUCAAAAUAAAAGAGGAAAAGAGGUAGUUGGUAUGGAGAAUUGGUGAAGUUUCAUCGGACAUUCCUUUGCCUUCCAUGAACAUGAACAUAAACAAUACGGUUUCUUAAAAGCUCGGACACAUAAGAUAAACAGAAUUAGUAUGUGAUUUCUUCUUCUAAGUAUUGAACUUUCUGCACAUUAUUCAAUCCAAUAUUAGAAAAAUAAACUGACCAAAAAAAAAGGACAAAAUACGAAGGGCUCUUUGACCAACCUUCUUCAAGGACCAAUUUCAAGUUAUGGAAUGCAUCAAUUUUGUGUAGAAAAAAGGGUAAGUAGCUGAAAAAAUUUGGGGAGAAAGUGAAAAUAGGAUCUCUUAGGUAAAGAAACAAGGUAAUACGUUUC
RNAcentral lists this long non-coding RNA (3584 nucleotides) under Solanum lycopersicum (tomato). Its description in RNAcentral is "long non-coding RNA (SLYC_LNC000039)". Lineage: Eukaryota; Viridiplantae; Streptophyta; Magnoliopsida; Solanales; Solanaceae. The record is from RNAcentral.